This 232-nucleotide ribosomal RNA is filed under the name uncultured bacterium. Its description in RNAcentral is "partial 16S ribosomal RNA". It matches the Rfam family "Bacterial small subunit ribosomal RNA", at positions 104 to 334 of the family's 1533-position model. The record is from RNAcentral.
CGGGGUGGAGUAACGCGUGGAUAACCUGCCUCACACUGGGGAUAACAGUUAGAAAUGACUGCUAAUACCGCAUGAGCGCACAGUACCGCAUGGUACGGUGUGAAAAACUCCGGUGGUGUGAGAUGGAUCCGCGUCUGAUUAGCCAGUUGGCGGGGUAACGGCCCACCAAAGCGACGAUCAGUAGCCGACCUGAGAGGGUGACCGGCCACAUUGGGACUGAGACACGGCCCAA